Long non-coding RNA from Rhinichthys klamathensis goyatoka, 364 nucleotides. RefSeq lists it as uncharacterized. The transcript has 3 exons. The record is from RefSeq and is a predicted model, not a curated record. Lineage: Eukaryota; Metazoa; Chordata; Actinopteri; Cypriniformes; Leuciscidae.
GUCUCAACAACGAAGAAUCAGAGACACCUAACAAUUGUGGUUGCUGGUAUAAUCAAACGGCAGAACAGAGAGAAGAGGAACCAUAUUCCUUCUUCUGUCAGAACUCAGGUUGUGCUGCGAUUCCCCGUCCCUCUCCAGGAUCCAUUCUUCUCAAACUGUGCUGUUGCUGUUGACCAGUUGGUCUGUUACUGGUGCUGGAGUUUGGAUUUACCGAUCGCCUCUCUCUCUGCAUUGCGUUGUUGCCGUGAACAUCUGCCUGUUUCCAGUUGUGAGUUAGGAUUUGCUUGUUGGCUCUGUUUGCCCCUCGCCUGACCAUCCUGACACUGAUUCCCGUCUCACGAUCCGCAUUUGAUUUCCCUGGACU